GACUCUCAACUAAAUUCCUACCGGACCGACUGCUCCGUUUGGCUGGACAUUGAGUUGAUUGAUAUGCUUGUCUAUAUUUUCUUGCAGUGAACUGGUACACAGAGUAGAGUACAGUAAACAACUAAAUAUUAUUAUUUUAAUAUUUAGUGAUCAAUGUUACCCCAUAAAAUCACCCAUCGUCAUCUUGUUAUUGAAUCUUAAUGUUAUCUGUUUUCUGUCUAGUCUACAACUUUGAGAAGUGUUCCGUCCGGAUUUAUUGUGUCGGUUCAAGUGACUGGUGACAGAAGUUGGGCAAGAACCAAAGGCUGAAACGAAAGGUGAAAGGUGGACCAGGAACAAGAGGACGGUUCGAUUAGUGUCGCAAGACGUUCGGGGUUAUCAGAAGAUAGACGACAGAACCCAAUGUGAAGAUCGAGGAGAGAAACGUUGGCCAAAGCGGAGUACGAAUUAAAGAUUUGGACAACUUCAGAUCGACUGGUCGUGCCAUUCAAUUGUUGAUUAUGUCUGUCUGGACCAGUUAAUUCAAAGCAUCAUCGUAAACCUCCAUUCAAUACUUCCAAGAUUAUCAGAACAACAAUAUGUAUAACUUCGAAGACAGAAACUAGACAUGGAGUGGACAUACCUUUAAUAUUUCAAGUUGUAUAAGGUACUGGUCAAAUCGGAAACAUUUCUCCAAAUUGGAAAAGUCAGGCCAGGCCAAUGCAAAGAUAUCAAGUGAAUAAUACCUUACAGACAAUUGUGUUGUUUAUGGUGGUGACUUUAUUUUUGGAGGUAGUUUACUAGUUAGCACAAAGUUUAUUUACGUUCUUCUUGUUCCUACUAUAUUAGUUUAUAAAUUGCUCUCUAAAUUCUAAUUAAGUAUCUCAAAUCAGUCAGGCGAAUAAAAUGUUCAACUCAAGAGUUUCAAGAUGAAAGCAAAGAAGAAAUUUACAGUAGUAUAAUUUUAGAGAUAAUUUAGCGUGGAAAUUUAAAAACUGUUUAUAAGUCCGAUAUUCUCUUGUUUAAUUCAUUCACUCUUCACGAAUCUAUUUGAUCGUAUCGUGUGGAGUUAGUAACUUAACCAAGCUUGGUUACUCCAACAUUUAGUAGCAAUGUAGUAUUAGUCCGAUCUUUUUGUAAUACAAUAUUAUUCGUGUA
Long non-coding RNA from Folsomia candida, 1137 nucleotides. RefSeq lists it as uncharacterized. The record is from RefSeq and is a predicted model, not a curated record. The transcript is spliced from 3 exons. Lineage: Eukaryota; Metazoa; Arthropoda; Collembola; Entomobryomorpha; Isotomidae.